Molecule: non-coding RNA, 236 nt
Filed under: Phaeobacter gallaeciensis
Lineage: Bacteria; Pseudomonadati; Pseudomonadota; Alphaproteobacteria; Rhodobacterales; Roseobacteraceae
Source: RNAcentral
GCUACCCAUUUCACAGAUGGUUUCCGCGAUCCGCCUUUGGCGGGUCCGGGAUGAAAAGGGAACGUGGUGCGAUCCGGCCUCUCUCGGCCAGAACAAUUCCACGACUGCCCCCGCAACUGUAGGCGGAGAGCGACCCCGGAAGAUCCACUGGGCGCAAGGCGACAGCCUGCGGCCGGGAAGGACCGGAGAAGCCCAGACCCGCAAGUCAGGAGACCUGCCAUCGCACAACUCGAAAC